RNAcentral lists this transfer RNA (65 nucleotides) under Myospalax aspalax (false zokor). RNAcentral's name for it is "tRNA-Tyr". It matches the Rfam family "tRNA". Rfam says of the family: Transfer RNA (tRNA) molecules are approximately 80 nucleotides in length. Lineage: Eukaryota; Metazoa; Chordata; Mammalia; Rodentia; Spalacidae. The record is from RNAcentral.
GGUAGAAUGGCUGAGUAAGGCAUUAGACUGUAAAUCUAAAGACAGAGAGACAUCUCUUUCUAUCA